UACGUAGGGUGCAAGCGUUAUCCGGAAUUAUUGGGCGUAAAGAGCUCGUAGGCGGUUUGUCGCGUCUGCUGUGAAAACUGGAGGCUCAACCUCCAGCCUGCAGUGGGUACGGGCAGACUAGAGUGCGGUAGGGGAGAUUGGAAUUCCUGGUGUAGCGGUGGAAUGCGCAGAUAUCAGGAGGAACACCAAUGGCGAAGGCAGAUCUCUGGGCCGUAACUGACGCUGAGGAGCGAAGGCAUGGGGAGCGAACAGG
This 253-nucleotide ribosomal RNA is filed under the name uncultured bacterium. RNAcentral's name for it is "partial 16S ribosomal RNA". It matches the Rfam family "Bacterial small subunit ribosomal RNA", at positions 524 to 776 of the family's 1533-position model. The record is from RNAcentral.